ACGGGAGGCAGCAGCUAAGAAUAUUCCGCAAUGGACGAAAGUCUGACGGAGCGACGCCGCGUGGAUGAAGAAGGCCGGAAGGUUGUAAAAUCCUUUUGGACGUGAGGAAUAAGCGAUGUAGGGAAUGACAUUGCGGUGACUGUAGCGUCUGAAUAAGCAACGGCUAAUUACGUGCCAGCAGCCGCGGUAACACGUAAGUUGCGAGCGUUGUUCGGAAUUAUUGGGCGUAAAGGGCAUGCAGGCGGCUAUGAAAGCCUGAUGUGAAAUGCCGGGGCUCAACCCCGGAACUGCAUUGGGAACUUCAAAGCUAGAGUUACUGAGGGGCAGCCGGAAUUCCAGGUGUAGGGGUGAAAUCUGUAGAUAUCUGGAAGAACACCAAUGGCGAAGGCAGGCUGCCAGCAGAUAACUGACGCUGAGGUGCGAAGGUGCGGGGAGCGAACAGGAUUAGAUACCCUGGUA
This 459-nucleotide ribosomal RNA is filed under the name uncultured Treponema sp. Its description in RNAcentral is "partial 16S ribosomal RNA". It matches the Rfam family "Bacterial small subunit ribosomal RNA", at positions 341 to 792 of the family's 1533-position model. The record is from RNAcentral. Lineage: Bacteria; Pseudomonadati; Spirochaetota; Spirochaetia; Treponematales; Treponemataceae.